AGCUAUGCCAUUUAUUACAUGCUCAGAUGCACACUCUUGUUAAAGUAAAAGCAUUGCUAGAAGCAUAAAGAGAGAUGGACCAAAGCAGACCACACGGAUACACAGGCAUACACACCAAACACACAAACAUUAACAGCAACAAAGUGUCAGGUUUCAUUCCAGCAAUACGGCUCCCAGUUUAAAAAUAAGUCAGACAGAUUUGACCUCUAUCCCGGGUAGCAUGCUUCAGUGGAUAGUGUCUAAGCAGGCCCCAGCAGGAAGUGAGUAUACAGCAUGUUUGGUUACAUGAUGGACAGAAACAGGAAAAGAGUGCAUACAUAUUCAUCAAGAUUAUGCACAGAUACUGAUAUUAUCAAUUCACCAAGACAUGGACACUGGAGGAAAAUUGAGUCAGGAUAUUGUGACUUGGUGAUGCAGUAAUUCACAAUUAAAUAUUUCAUCAGGUAGGUAUAUUUCCAAAUAUCUUAAAUACCUCUGCUCCUGCAGACCAAGAGAAGGAUCAAAGACAUCAGUUUUUUAGGGCAAUUAAAGUUGGAGCUUCUAAUUUCAUCAUUAGUGUUUAAAAAAAAGAAAAGGAAAAAGAAAGAAAGGAAGAAAUUAAGAGAUGAUUCACCUAUUUUACAUACCGGAUGAGUCCAGUUGUUGUAUGCUUAGAGGAUGGUCACAGAAGGGACAUUUACACUUUGUUUUUACAGUCUAACCCUUUACUAGAAGCACCUUUUGUCACAUCAACAGCUAUUUUGAAAUAAGUAAUAAUUCAAUUUAAGCUAACAUGUCUUUGAAACAGAGCACCAAGUAAAAAAAGAAUCAUGCAUAUACAGACAGAACAAGGAAAGCCCACAUAGAACAGUCUCAGGAAGGUUUGACUCAAGACUGUUCAUGCAGGGCUUGAAACAAAUAAUUCACACUGGGAAUUCUUCUCCUACCCGUACCCUUCUCUUCAUCGUCUCACUCUUCUUAUCUCUUAUUCUUGGUAUAACUGGUACUAAACUAGUUAUUAUUGCCAUGAAAACGCAUUUACAACUUAUACAGCAUAACAGCAUAAUGCAAUAAUAUCUUGUCAGCUUGUACAAAAUUAAGCAAGUCAGAUCCUGUAGGACUAGGAUGUUACCACCUUGGUAUGAUUGUUCAAACUUUUAUCCUGUACCUCUGGGAAGUCGUUUAUGGGGUCACACUCUGACCCCCCCCACACACACACAGUAUUCUUUGUUCACAUGUAUACCUAUGUAAGAUGUUAUAUGUUAAUGACCCUAUGCAUAUUCAUGUAAUCACAAUAAAAGGAGUGCUAUGGGGAACCUGGCUGAGAGUCUGACGGAAGUCAAGUGGUGGAACGACACUUGGCUCCAGGCAGGUCUCCCUCAUGCAUGAGUAACAAGAACUUUGCCUACUUCGUGUCUUGCUUGCUGUGUAAUUAUAUUGUCUUCAACGUUCCAGCGAAUAGGUUCAAGCUACAAACCUAUCAACCUCAUCACUUAAUGACCCAAAGGGCAGCCAAAGAUGACUAUUAGCUCUGCUGAACUUUUGUUCAGGCAUUGUUUGAAAAAACUAAAUUCAACAAAAGGUCAGCAUCAGUAUGACACUAAUGAUAAAUUGGUUUACUGGGAAGAGAUAGUAUUUCUUUCCCCCAGUACAUGAGCUCACUUUAAAACCCUUUAAAUCUCAGCUCAAACUAAAGAUCAGCUCUUCAAGAAAGCAAGACAUUUUUGACAUUCCUCCUUUGCUUCUUGACUUUCUCUGAAAAUAUGCAAGCGAUGAGACACUUUUUAUAAAAGGCUUCACUUAUAUGUGGGAGAAAAAAAUGACUGCUGCUGUAUGCAUUGCUAUGGUAACAGGAGGAACUGCUUGUUUAGAUUUGAGACCCA
This is a long non-coding RNA of Astatotilapia calliptera (eastern happy), 1862 nucleotides long. The record is from Ensembl. Lineage: Eukaryota; Metazoa; Chordata; Actinopteri; Cichliformes; Cichlidae.